CUGAAAAUUUGUGGGCAGAUAGAUCUUAAUCUGAUGAACAUUUUUUACCCCUGUCAGAUUUGAAUUUGCUCUAAAUGCUUUAGUUUCAGAGAUAUAAGCCAAAAACUGCAUGUUACCUUAUUUUCUAUUUUAAGCUAUGUCGGCCAUCUUGGUUAACAGGCGGUGUCAUCGGACACAUUUUAUCAAAACUAGAUACCCUAGUGAUGAUUGUGAUCUAGAUUGGUUAAAUUUGGUCAAGUAGUUUCAGAGGAGAAGAUUUUUGUUAAAGAUUACAAAUUCGUAUAAAAACUGUUAAAAAAUGACUAUAAAGGGCAAUCACUCCUUAAGGGGUCAACUGACAAUUUUGGUAAUGAUGACUC
This 359-nucleotide long non-coding RNA is filed under the name Mytilus galloprovincialis (Mediterranean mussel). The record is from RNAcentral. Lineage: Eukaryota; Metazoa; Mollusca; Bivalvia; Mytilida; Mytilidae.